Molecule: long non-coding RNA, 1253 nt
Filed under: Anas platyrhynchos platyrhynchos (common mallard)
Lineage: Eukaryota; Metazoa; Chordata; Aves; Anseriformes; Anatidae
Description: lncRNA (ENSAPLG00000023501.1)
Source: RNAcentral
ACAAUUUCAUAGUUAUUAUAAAGUUUCUCUCAUCACUCUGUGGGAGAUCAGGAUGAAUUCAUUUAUGCAAGAGUAAUUUCUUCCACAGUCAUUUUGUGAGAUGAUUUAUUUGUAGAGGUGGACAGAAAAUAAUAAAGUCCCAGAUUUAAAUAGCACCUUUCAUCCCAAAGGAUCCUAAUGUGCUUUACAAGAUACAUCUCUACACAGGAAUGUCACUUGCCCCUGAAGUGAUAGAUGGCACCUGUUUAGGAGCAUGCACAGAAACACUCCAUAACAGUUUAAAGCAGGCAGUGAAGAAUACCAGAGCCAGUAGAAACCACAGGUGGGAUUGGAAUAUACUCCUAGUAUGGUUCCAUCCCACACUAAUAACAAAAUAGCAUGCAGACAUUUGGAGGAGCCAGAAUCACCUUAUGCUGUGUAUUUUCAGGAUGCAAAGAAAAAAAAAGAAAAGCCAUAUUGAAAUUGUUUGAAGAAGUGAAACCCUGCAUCAGUCAUGGCCUGCCAGAAGCUAUUUGACCAGGUUCAACUACUAGGAAGUCUCUUUCACUGCUCAUUUAUUCUGCCUUUGCCAUGCCUAUUGAUGUCAAGUGUGAACCAUGAGAAAGUUUAGAAAGCCAACAAACAAGCUGUAAACAAGUGACUGAGGUAGAGCUACAUGUUUUAUUGCUGGCCUCUUGCAUCAGGCUCAGAGUCUGGUGUAUUAAACUGCCUUGCACAGUUAUACUGUGCACUGAUUUAUAGUGUUUAUGGCAACCAAAAUUAGAUGACUGUACAGUGUAAAAGAAUGUCAGCCCUGCAUUACAAUCACUGUGUCUUGCUCCAUCUGAGUGAUUUACAGGAAAACACAUUCUGUCAUCAAGCAUUUUUUAAUUUUUUUUUUUCUUUUCAGGAAAUUUGACUUCACUUUUGUGUUAAAUGAUGAUUGCUCGCAAACUGGAAUGGGUGAGCAAUUGUGAAUGCAACAGAAGCUGAAGCCCUUGGAGCUUUUUAAUUUUAUUUUUAGUAUAAAAACAAUUCCAUUUUUAGAUGGAUGUGCACUACUAGUGGGAGGAGAAGGAAACAAUGAACAUGAGAAAUGGAGUAGGUGAAUAUAACAGGAUCCAAUAUUCUGUGCUUUACAGUUGAUCAAAAACUUAAAGAUGAAUACUCUGGAACCAAAAAAGUGUUAAUUUAAAACAGAAAAUGUUAUUAAUGUAGAUACAUGCUUUGCUGAACAGAAAACUUUCCUGAUAAUAAACUUCAGGUAAAUCACA